Molecule: ribosomal RNA, 229 nt
Filed under: uncultured bacterium
Lineage: Bacteria
Description: partial 16S ribosomal RNA
Rfam family: Bacterial small subunit ribosomal RNA
Source: RNAcentral
CAUGUAGGCGGCUGCGUAAGUCGGAUGUGAAAGCCCCGGGCUCAACCUGGGAAUUGCAUUCGAAACUGCGUAGCUAGAGUUUGGUAGAGGUAAGUGGAAUUCCGGGUGUAGCGGUGAAAUGCGUAGAUAUCCGGAGGAACAUCAGUGGCGAAGGCGGCUUACUGGACCAAAACUGACGCUGAGGCUCGAAAGCGUGGGGAGCAAACAGGAUUAGAUACCCUGGUAGUCC